AGUGAACGCUGGCGGUAGGCCUAACACAUGCAAGUCGAACGGCAGCACAGUAAGAGCUUGCUCUUACGGGUGGCGAGUGGCGGACGGGUGAGGAAUACAUCGGAAUCUACUUUUUCGUGGGGGAUAACGUAGGGAAACUUACGCUAAUACCGCAUACGACCUACGGGUGAAAGCAGGGGAUCUUCGGACCUUGCGCGAUUGAAUGAGCCGAUGUCGGAUUAGCUAGUUGGCGGGGUAAAGGCCCACCAAGGCGACGAUCCGUAGCUGGUCUGAGAGGAUGAUCAGCCACACUGGAACUGAGACACGGUCCAGACUCCUACGGGAGGCAGCAGUGGGGAGUAUUGGACAAUGGGCGCAAGCCUGAUCCAGCCAUACCGCGUGGGUGAAGAAGGCCUUCGGGUUGUAAAGCCCUUUUGUUGGGAAAGAAAAGCAGCAGGUUAAUACCCCGCUGUUCUGACGGUACCCAAAGAAUAAGCACCGGCUAACCUCGUG
RNAcentral lists this ribosomal RNA (492 nucleotides) under uncultured bacterium. RNAcentral describes it as "partial 16S ribosomal RNA". It matches the Rfam family "Bacterial small subunit ribosomal RNA", at positions 29 to 507 of the family's 1533-position model. The record is from RNAcentral.